GACGUAGGGCGCGAGCGUUGUCCGGAUUUAUUGGGCGUAAAGAGCUCGUAGGCGGCUUGUCGCGUCGACUGUGAAAACCCGCGGCUCAACUGCGGGCCUGCAGCCGAUACGGGCAGGCUAGAGUUCGGUAGGGGGAGACUGGAAUUCCUGGUGUAGCGGUGAAAUGCGCAGAUAUCAGGAGGAACACCGGUGGCGAAGGCGGGUCUCUGGGCCGAAUA
RNAcentral lists this ribosomal RNA (218 nucleotides) under uncultured bacterium. RNAcentral's name for it is "partial 16S ribosomal RNA". It matches the Rfam family "Bacterial small subunit ribosomal RNA", at positions 524 to 739 of the family's 1533-position model. The record is from RNAcentral.